RNAcentral lists this ribosomal RNA (168 nucleotides) under uncultured Actinomycetes bacterium. RNAcentral's name for it is "uncultured actinobacterium partial 16S ribosomal RNA". It matches the Rfam family "Bacterial small subunit ribosomal RNA", at positions 1164 to 1330 of the family's 1533-position model. Lineage: Bacteria; Bacillati; Actinomycetota; Actinomycetes. The record is from RNAcentral.
CGGAGGAAGGUGGGGACGACGUCAAGUCAUCAUGCCCCUUAUGUCUUGGGCUGCAAACAUGCUACAAUGGCCGGUACAAUGGGCGUGCGAUACCGUAAGGUGGAGCGAAUCCCUUAAAGCCGGUCUCAGUUCGGAUUGGGGUCUGCAACUCGACCCCAUGAAGGUGGA